Ornithorhynchus anatinus (platypus) is the source of this 110-nucleotide small nuclear RNA. The record is from RefSeq and is a predicted model, not a curated record. Lineage: Eukaryota; Metazoa; Chordata; Mammalia; Monotremata; Ornithorhynchidae.
GUUUUAACCAGAGAAAGAUGGACGUGGACUAAAAUUGGAAUGAUGCCAAGAAGAUUAGCAUAGUCUCUGCACAAGAUAGCAACCAAAUUAGUGCAGCAUUCCAUAUUUUC